GAAAUAUCUUAAACCACAUUUGCAGCCUGAUGAAAUUUCAGUGUGGCUGAAGGAGUACACGGAUGGUAGCUUAAAGGCGUUCAAAAAGUCGGAGCCGAUCCCUGAAACUAAUGAUGAACCUGUUAAGGUUGUUGUGGCCGACAACAUUCAUGAUGUGGUCUCUACCUCUGGGAAGAAUGUUCUUAUUGAAUUUUAUGCACCUUGGUGUGGGCAUUGCAAGAAACUAGCGCCUAUCUUAGAUGAAGUAGCUGUCUCAUUUCAAGACGAUGCUGAUGUGAUCAUUGCAAAGAUGGAUGCGACUGCUAACGACCUACCAAAUGAAUUUGAAGUCAAGGGCUACCCUACAUUGUACUUUUCUUCAGCCAGUGGCAAGCUCACCCAAUUCGAUGGCGGUAGGGCAGCAAAAGACAUAAUUGAUUUCAUACAAGCAAAUAGGGAUGGAACCGUUAUAUCUGAUUCCGGUGAAGAGAAGCAGGAGCCGGAGCCCACCAAAG
This 494-nucleotide unclassified non-coding RNA is filed under the name Hevea brasiliensis (rubber tree). The record is from RNAcentral. Lineage: Eukaryota; Viridiplantae; Streptophyta; Magnoliopsida; Malpighiales; Euphorbiaceae.